AAACCAGCACCUCAAGUGGUCAGGAUGAUUAUUGGGCCUAAAGCAUCCGUAGCCUGCUCUGUAAGUUUUCGGUUAAAUCUGUACGCUUAACGUACAGGCUGCCGGGAAUACUGCAGAGCUAGGGAGUGGGAGAGGUAGACGGUACUCGGGAGGAAGUGGUAAAAUGCUUUGGUCUCUCGAUGACCACCUGUGGCGAAGGCGGUCUACCAGAACACGUCCGACGGUGAGGGAUGAAAGCUGGGGGAGCAAACCGGAUUAGAAACCCUGGUAGUCC
This 274-nucleotide ribosomal RNA is filed under the name uncultured bacterium. RNAcentral's name for it is "partial 16S ribosomal RNA". It matches the Rfam family "Archaeal small subunit ribosomal RNA", at positions 473 to 747 of the family's 1478-position model. The record is from RNAcentral.